RNAcentral lists this ribosomal RNA (492 nucleotides) under uncultured bacterium. Its description in RNAcentral is "partial 16S ribosomal RNA". It matches the Rfam family "Bacterial small subunit ribosomal RNA", at positions 29 to 507 of the family's 1533-position model. The record is from RNAcentral.
AGUGAACGCUGGCGGUAGGCCUAACACAUGCAAGUCGAACGGCAGCACAGUAAGAGCUUGCUCUUACGGGUGGCGAGUGGCGGACGGGUGAGGAAUACAUCGGAAUCUACUUUUUCGUGGGGGAUAACGUAGGGAAACUUACGCUAAUACCGCAUACGACCUACGGGUGAAAGCAGUGGAUCUUCGGACCUUGCGCGAUUGAAUGAGCCGAUGUCGGAUUAGCUAGUUGGCGGGGUAAAGGCCCACCAAGGCGACGAUCCGUAGCUGGUCUGAGAGGAUGAUAGGCCACACUGGAGCUGGGACAGCGUCCAUGCUCCUACGGGAGGCAGCAGUGUGGAAUAUUGGACAAUGGGCGCAAGCCUGAUCCAGCCGUACCGCGUGGGUGAAGGAGGCCUUCGGGUUGUAAAGCCCUUUUGUUGGGAAAGAAAAGCAGCAGGUUAAUACCCCGCUGUUCUGACGGUACCCAAAGAAUAAGCACCGGCUAACUUCGUG